RNAcentral lists this ribosomal RNA (370 nucleotides) under uncultured organism. Its description in RNAcentral is "bacterial SSU rRNA". It matches the Rfam family "Bacterial small subunit ribosomal RNA", at positions 526 to 896 of the family's 1533-position model. The record is from RNAcentral.
CGUAGGGUGCAAGCGUUAAUCGGAAUUACUGGGCGUAAAGCGUGCGCAGGCGGUUGUGCAAGACAGAUGUGAAAUCCCCGGGCUCAACCUGGGAAUUGCAUUUGUGGCUGCACGGCUAGAGUGUGUCAGAGGGGGGUAGAAUUCCACGUGUAGCAGUGAAAUGCGUAGAGAUGUGGAGGAAUACCGAUGGCGAAGGCAGCCCCCUGGGAUAACACUGACGCUCAUGCACGAAAGCGUGGGGAGCAAACAGGAUUAGAUACCCUGGUAGUCCACGCCCUAAACGAUGUCUACUAGUUGUCGGGUCUUAAUUGACUUGGUAACGCAGCUAACGCGUGAAGUAGACCGCCUGGGGAGUACGGUCGCAAGAUUA